AACAGUCAAAGAAUCAUUUCUUUAGUAAACAUCUCCUUCUGUGUUCUCUACAACAGUCACAGACUCCAACCGAGACGAUGAGUCGAACCUCGAUACCCUAGAGUGAAACCGUUUUGCUUUCGUUCUCUCCGCAAGGAGGGCGUCUGUGUUUCUUCUGAGACGCGGAUGUAUAGAAAGUGGUGAUGAUCUCGACCCUGCACUGAUGGUUUUAGGACCUUGGUGUAGGGUGGGUGUUGAUGGUUGUCUGAUCGGU
This 253-nucleotide small nucleolar RNA is filed under the name Sclerotinia borealis F-4128. RNAcentral describes it as "Fungal small nucleolar RNA U3". It matches the Rfam family "Fungal small nucleolar RNA U3". From Rfam's summary of the family: Small nucleolar RNAs (snoRNAs) are involved in the processing and modification of rRNA in the nucleolus. There are two main classes of snoRNAs: the box C/D class, and the box H/ACA class. The record is from Rfam by way of RNAcentral. Lineage: Eukaryota; Fungi; Ascomycota; Leotiomycetes; Helotiales; Sclerotiniaceae.